Molecule: long non-coding RNA, 2235 nt
Organism: Triticum aestivum (bread wheat)
Lineage: Eukaryota; Viridiplantae; Streptophyta; Magnoliopsida; Poales; Poaceae
Exons: 2
Source: RefSeq, a predicted model, not a curated record
CUUAGGUCGUUCCCAGUCCCCAACCUCCCCUGUUUCUCUCCUGACCUCCCACGCCGACCGCCGCCCCUCGUCAGUUGCCGCCCAUCACCACUCCCCUACGAUCCUCUCUCCCGGCGUGCCGUACCUCACCACUCCCUUUCGACCCUCUGUCCCGGCGCGCCGCCUCUCAACACUCCCCUGCGAACCUCCAUCCAGGCGCGCGCAGUCCCUCCUCUCCAUUCGCCGGCGACCCUGCAUCCCGGCGAGCCAUCCAUCGUCACCGCUCCCCUGCGACCAACGGUGAAUCCAAGGUACGACGUGUCGCCCUUCUUCACCACUCCCCUGUCACCCUGCAUCCCGGCGCGCUGCCCGUCGUCACAGCUCCCCUGUGACCCUGCAUCCCAGCGCGCGCCCCCUCGUCACCGCUCCCCUGCGACGACGGCGAAUCCAAGGUACGGCCAUGAACAUGCUCAGAUUCUCCUUUUGCCCAGCUGUAUAUCGUAUCAUUGAUGGCGAAGACCAGAGAGACCGGGGAUGAGAUUAAUUCUGCUAGGGAUCCAAUCACGAGAUAAUUACUAUGGGAGAUUCUGAUUGUGUGACGUGUUUCUUUGCAACAUAAACGUGACGCAUAGGCAUGUGUUCUCACAAAGCAGGUCUCAAACAACCGGCUUAGCCCUCUUUUCAUCGGAUUAAGUUCGUUUCCAUGUCUAUUUUUGUUUCUUGGUGUUUAAUUUCAUUUACAAUUUGGGCAUACUGAAAAAAGUCCAGAUUACCAGGCAAAAAAAAGAGUUGAGAUUCAUGCUAUUGUAGUUAUGGUUGUUACACUAGAAGAAAAUGAAUUUGAACCUUCACACACUUUGUGAAUUAUCUGACUUUUAUAAACGAGACUCCUAAUCCAUCUAAGCGCUGGCAAAUGUUUUUUAGGUGGCUUAUACAGCGUCAAUGAAUAUGGUGUCAGCAAGAGGUUUAUGGCGCUGUUUGGCAGUAGGUUUUAUUGUUGUUCGUGUUCCUGCUCUUCGAUUCAAACAACCUUCUCGAUUAUUGGAUGACACAAGGAUUGAGUCAUGCUUGCACUUCUGAUGUGGGAUGAUGGUUGUGUGUGUAGCCCUGCCCAAACUCUGGCCCCUCCAAAGUCAGGUGCAGGAGUUCAGGUUCAUUCUUCAUCAGUUUUUAUGCCAAGUAAUCAUAUUUGGAUGAUACUUCCUGAUCAACGGGUGAGUUAUUUGGUGCAUACUAUUAAUGGAUCAGCACUUGGAUGGUUGGAUUGUGAUAUGGACAUAUUAUUGAAUAGGUCCAAUAUAUAAAAAUAGGAGUAAGCAUAAGAGCAUUGCCUACAGGUUUAUAUUCGGUUAGAACAUGCAUACACACCAUUUACGCCAAUUGCUUUCUUCAUGCAAUUAUGCAACUGUUAACAUUUCCCUGAUGUUGCAAUGUUAUAAGGGAAUUUAACUGAAUUUAAUCUGCUUGUCAGAUUUAUGUCAAUAUUGUUUUUUAAAGAUGGAGCUACAUAAUUGUUCGUUGGUGAUCGACCUCAACAAUCUGGCGUUUUGGUGUUUGAUCGAGGUACAAACAGAAUUUUGAUUGUGUAGUUUCAGCAGCCUUACUUAGGACUAUUCUCGUUUCAUCUUCCAUUUGGAGGGACUAUGAUAGCAUUUAUGAAGCUUUUGUAAUUCCUUUACGAGUUCUUUCCUUUUGAUCCAUCGAUAACUUUGAUUUUCUCUAACACGCAUGAACUAAAGUAUUCUUGAAGAGCCUGGAAAAAAAUAACGGAGACAUGUCUCUUGCUACAGUUGUAAGUUGUGUUCUUAAAUUUAAACUUGAUGGUGUUGAACUUACAAAUGAAUUCUGGGAAGUGCAUGUUGAUAUGGCACUUGUGAAGACAUGAUAUUUGGUACGGAGUCGCAAACUGCAAUACUCUCGGUAAUGCAGACAAAACAAAGAUUGCAUGGCCUUCAACCUUUAUUCAAAAGAUAAAUGGAUGAUUAUAUGGGUGCAUGGCAAGUAUACUGCAAUGAUGAUGAUGAUGUUCCUGAUCAUGAUGACGAAGAUGGAUGCUUACAGUUUUAGUUAAGUUGUAGGGAUGAUGUUCUUCGGUUAUGUUUUAGUUAAGUUGUAUGGAUGUGAUAGAUACUUUCAGUUUAACUUUUGAUGUCAGGAAAAUAAUUGGAUUUUGCAUCACAUUUGGAUGAUGUUCCUCCUGUAAUAUCCACUAUUGUAAUCCAACAUUUUUAUCUAAUAUAUGAUUUGUUCCUCCCA